AUCAGCAGAAGCUGCAUCCAUUAAGAUAAGAAAAGGAAUGUCCUGCUUGGACAGUAAAGGAUCCUGUAGGGAACAAGAAGACCCCAGACCCAAAUAUUGCUAUUGGACUGAACCAUCGUGUGAUGAGAGGGGAACUUAGAUUGUGUGCCUGGAGUCAUUCUGGACUCUAUUGAAUAAGCAGCUCUUCAAGAAGAUAAAGUUGGUUUACACGGACAGGAAGAUGGCAGUCUUCCUUUGCAAUCUCAAGAUCUGAAAAGGACAGGUUUGAAUUAACUUCACUUUCUCUCCACUUAAAGGGGAAACCAGUGGAUUCCUGUGUGAGCCUUUGAUCACAGAAUAACACAGGGUGGAAGAAACCUCUCCAGGUCACAAGUCAAACCUCCUGUGCGAAGCAGGUCCAGCUGGAGCAGGUUGCUCAGGAUCCUGUCCAGUUGCAGAUGUUCACUGUUCUGACUAUUUGAACAUUCAUUUGAUGCAGCAAAGCAUGAAAGAAAACAUUUUAAAAUAGGUCCAUAUGUUUAUAAAAACAGCAAACCUCGGUGGUGCAUACAAUACCUAUAUCAGCUGGAACUUUUAAAAAUAAGUAAGCAAUUGUCUAGACUUCCAGUUGCCCUUCCUCAUUUUGAUUGAACAAAGUUUAUAAAAUUGUGCUCUCCGGAAAGAUUUCCUAGAACAAAAAGUUACAUUAUUUCAGUGUGGUGAAACGCUGAUUUUUCUUUUCCAGCCAAAUAAAAUUUCUUGCAAGAAUAUUAUCUUUUUCUGUUUUAUAAGAGUAUGGAAAAACAGAUGAAAUAGUUGAGUGUAGUUAUAUUUCACCCCAGAACAACAGCUUGGAAAAUGUAGCUGCCUUUUGUAACAGUGACUGUGGGUCCAACUUCUGGUGAGAGGUAUAAUACAAAGGUUUAUGUCUCAGCCAGGAAUUCUCUGCUUUAAAACUCCCAUUGGACUAUGGCCAGGUUUGGCACACUUUUUUCCUGAAGCUGAUUUUAAACAGACAUUAUCUUUUCAAAUAACCUGGCUGAAAUUCUGGCCCUAUUGAAGCUAAUGACUGAAUUCCUCAACAGAGGCAAGAUUUCAGCACAUCCUUAAACCAGUUUAUAAAACAUUUCUUUACAGUACCUUUGAAAUUUCCAGCCUUUUCCCACCUGCCUACUGAGCCUACCAUAAUUUAUUAUUAUACACCUAACCCUCUGGGACACAUCUUAUAAACCUUUACAGCCACACCCAGAAGUCUCUUGCAGAUGUUUAAUAUUUUUAGUUGACUUCCUAGGAAAAUGAUGUUUAUAAUCAUGCUGCCUGUUCUUCUGUUUGUUUUUCCCAUCGUCUU
Molecule: non-coding RNA, 1327 nt
Organism: Phalacrocorax carbo (great cormorant)
Lineage: Eukaryota; Metazoa; Chordata; Aves; Suliformes; Phalacrocoracidae
Source: RefSeq, a predicted model, not a curated record